Molecule: unclassified non-coding RNA, 163 nt
Filed under: uncultured Herpotrichiellaceae
Lineage: Eukaryota; Fungi; Ascomycota; Eurotiomycetes; Chaetothyriales; Herpotrichiellaceae
Description: sequence contains ITS2
Source: RNAcentral
UCAACCAUCAAGCCUGGCUUGUCGUUGGACCUCUUUACGGUUGAAAUAUAUCGUAGGUCCGAAAGAUAAUGACGGUGUCGUGUUUGACCCUAAAUGCAACGAGCUUUUAAUAGCACGCAUUGAAGUGGUCAGGCGACCCGGUCUUAACCAUUUAUUUUCUUAA